UUGGAUUUUGGCUCAGAUUGAACGCUAGCGGGAUGCCCACAUGCAAGUCGAACGGCAGCACGGACUUCGGUCUGGUGGCGAGUGGCGAACGGGUGAGUAAUGUAUCGGAACGUGCCUAGUAGCGGGGAUAACUGAGAAAGCGUAGCCAAUACGCAUACGCCCUUCGGGGCGUUGGGACCUUCGGGCCUCGCAUCAGAGCACGAUACAUCGGAUUUCAGCGAAGUGGUGGGGCACGGGCCACUUAAGGCGACGAUCCGUAGCUGGUUUGAGAGGACGACCAGCCAGCACUGGGACUGAGACACGGCCCAGACUCCUACGGGAGGCAAGGGUGGGGAAUUUGGACAAUGGGGAAACCCCGAUCCAGCCAUCCGCGUGUGCGAUGAAGGCCUUCGGGUUGUAAAGCACUUUUGGCAGGAAAAGAAACGCCAAGAUAAUACCCUGCAACCGACGGUACCUGCAGAAUAAGCACCGGCUAACUACGCCAGCAGCCAGCGGUAAUAAGGUAGAGGCGCAAGAAUCGUUUUAUUGGGGCAGCGCAUGCAGUAGUUCUCGGAAGCAGUGAUGUGAACCAGAGCUGACUUUCGUCUGCAUUUUAAUCACCGAGCAGAGGUGUCAGAGUGUGAGGUAACUCCAUGUGUAGCAGUGAAUGCAGACAUGCGGAGGAACACCAUACAGCGCAGCCUCCUUCGGGGAUAACACUGACGCUCAUGCACUGUGUUAUGGGAUAAACAGGAUUAGAUACCCCUGGUAGUCCACGCUCCUAAACGAUGUCAACUAUUGUUAGCCUUUCGCCCAGAAAGGCAGCUAACGCGUGAAGUUGACCGCCUCGGGGAGUACGGUCGCAGACGCAAACCUGCAUGAAUUGAUCGGGACCCGCAGCCAUGUGGAUGAUGUGAUUUAAUUGAUAAAACGAAAACCUUACCUAAAUUUCGACAGCGUUCCGGAACUUCAAAGAGAUUUGGGGAGUGUCGCGGUUAGAACUGGAACACAGGUGCUGCAUGGCUGUCGUCACCGUGUCGUGAGAUGCUGGGGUUAAGUCCCGCAACGAGCGCAACCCUUGUCAUUAGUUACAACAGUACAAGACCACUGACUGCUGGUGAGCAAACUGAGGUUGCGGGGAUGACGUUUGUCCUUUACGCGGUUCUUAUGGGCAGGUCAGCUUCACACGUCAUGUGAAGCAUUCUGGACAGAUAUCGCCAGCCCCAGCGAGGAGCCAUCCCAGAAACCCGAUCGUAGUCCGAUCGUGAGUUCCGGUAACUUGAAUUGCGGAAGUCGCAAUCAGCGAAAAAUCGCGGACUGUGCGUACGUCGCGGGUGAAUAUGCCCUGGCCUGUGGCUACAGGUCGUCCAUUACAUCAUGGGAGUGGGUUUCACCAGAAGUAGUUAGCCUAACCGUAAGGAGGGCGAUUACCACGGUAGAUUCAUGACUGGGGUGAAGUCGUAACAAGGUAAC
Molecule: ribosomal RNA, 1452 nt
Filed under: uncultured Bordetella sp.
Lineage: Bacteria; Pseudomonadati; Pseudomonadota; Betaproteobacteria; Burkholderiales; Alcaligenaceae
Description: partial 16S-23S ribosomal RNA intergenic spacer
Rfam family: Bacterial small subunit ribosomal RNA
Source: RNAcentral